Molecule: transfer-messenger RNA, 351 nt
Filed under: Actinomycetes bacterium
Lineage: Bacteria; Bacillati; Actinomycetota; Actinomycetes
Description: Actinobacteria bacterium (activated sludge metagenome) partial transfer-messenger RNA
Rfam family: transfer-messenger RNA
About the family: Bacterial tmRNA, also known as 10Sa RNA or SsrA, is named for its dual tRNA and mRNA-like properties. Its role is to liberate the mRNA from a stalled ribosome.
Source: RNAcentral
UUGGGUGUCGAGAAGGGAGAAGCGGGUCGAGGAUCACAGAGAUCUCGUAAACCAUCUGUGAAAAACCAAUAGGUGCCAAACAAGAAAAGGCAUCCUUCGCUCUAGCUGCCUGACAGUUAGGAAUUGCGAGGCGUCCGGUGGGAAUUGUCUCCGCACCACUCGGGCGACGUAAGGGGGCUCACCGCUGUCGGCGGUCACGGUCGACAACGGAACACUAAACAGUGACUCUGGCCAUGUAUCGCGAAGGGUCGAGCAAAACGCGAUGGCCGAGAACAUGACACUUCGACUGCACCCGGAGAAUGCCCCGAUCUGCACCUAUGGACGCGGGUUCGAUUCCCGCCACCUCCACCA